UGGGGAAUAUUGCGCAAUGGGCGAAAGCCUGACGCAGCAACGCCGCGUGAGUGAUGAAGGCCUUCGGAUCGUAAACCCCUGUCGAAUGGGACGAAAGACUCGCGAGUGAAUACUUCGCGAGAGUGACGGUACCGUUAAAGGAAGCCACGGCUAACUCUGUGCCAGCAGCCGCGGUAAUACAGAGGUGGCAAGCGUUGUUCGGAAUUACUGGGCGUAAAGGGCGCGUAGGCGGCCCUCUAAGUCAGACGUGAAAUCCCCCGGCUUAACCUGGGAACUGCGUCUGAUACUGGAGGGCUUGAGUAUGGGAGAGGGAUGUAGAAUUCCAGGUGUAGCGGUGAAAUGCGUAGAUAUCUGGAGGAAUACCGGUGGCGAAGGCGGCAUCCUGGACCAUUACUGACGCUGAGGCGCGAAAGCUAGGGGAGCAAACGGGAUUAGAUACCCACGUAGUCCCUGAGCGGGCUGGCAAGGCGCAU
RNAcentral lists this ribosomal RNA (473 nucleotides) under uncultured bacterium. RNAcentral describes it as "bacterial SSU rRNA". It matches the Rfam family "Bacterial small subunit ribosomal RNA", at positions 355 to 825 of the family's 1533-position model. The record is from RNAcentral.